RNAcentral lists this ribosomal RNA (402 nucleotides) under Triticum aestivum (bread wheat). Its description in RNAcentral is "partial small subunit ribosomal RNA". The record is from RNAcentral. Lineage: Eukaryota; Viridiplantae; Streptophyta; Magnoliopsida; Poales; Poaceae.
AUGCUGUGCCACGUUAGCCAGCUAACACGUUGGCUGGCUAGAAGAAACCAGCCAGCUCGCUGGCGCUCGCUUCCAGCCUUUUCUUUCGGUCGCUCGCUCGCAGCCUUUUCUUUUUUCGCUCGCUCGCUCGCAGCCUUAUCUCCUCUGUUUUCUUUUCUCUUCUGCGAGGCUCUCGAUGAAACAUCCCGACCUCGCCCCCAUCCAGACACCGAGCUCUCACUGGAUGUACCGUCGUUGCCGCUUGAGCCCACACACCGUCGCCGGGAUUUCGCCCCGCCUCCUCCUCCCCCUCCCCCACCAAGCUCGAGAGCAGCGGCAGGAUCACCCCGUCCUUUCCCUCCGCGCGGGAGGUUCUGGCAGAGCAUCGGCCGGGGCGGCGGCGGUCUUCUCUUCGGCACAUAG